CGCGUGAGUGAAGAAGGCCUUCGGGUUGUAAAGCUCUUUCGCAAGGGAAGAAAACUUAUGAUCGAAUAAAUCAUGAGGUUGACGGUACCUUGAUAAGAAGCACCGGCUAACUACGUGCCAGCAGCCGCGGUAAUACGUAGGGUGCGAGCGUUAAUCGGAAUUACUGGGCGUAAAGCGUGCGCAGGCGGUUUUGUAAGUCGGAUGUGAAAUCCCCGGGCUCAACCUGGGAACUGCGUUCGAAACUGCAAGGCUAGAGUGUGUCAGAGGGGGGUAGAAUUCCACGUGUAGCAGUGAAAUGCGUAGAGAUGUGGAGGAAUACCAAUGGCGAAGGCAGCCCCCUGGGAUAACACUGACGCUCAUGCACGAAAGCGUGGGGAGCAAACAGGAUUAGAUACCCUGGUAGUCCACGCCCUAAACGAUGUCAACUAGUUGUUGGUAGAGUAAAAUCUAUGAGUAACGUAGCUAACGCGUGAAGUUGACCGNCUGGGGAGUACGGUCGCAAGAUUAAAACUCAAAGGAAUUGACGGGGGGCCCGCACAAGCGGUGGAUCAUG
This 553-nucleotide ribosomal RNA is filed under the name uncultured bacterium. RNAcentral describes it as "bacterial SSU rRNA". It matches the Rfam family "Bacterial small subunit ribosomal RNA", at positions 398 to 941 of the family's 1533-position model. The record is from RNAcentral.